This 333-nucleotide unclassified non-coding RNA is filed under the name uncultured Dermatocarpon. RNAcentral describes it as "sequence contains ITS1". The stretch from base 1 to 93 matches the Rfam family "5.8S ribosomal RNA", at positions 50 to 154 of the family's 154-position model. Lineage: Eukaryota; Fungi; Ascomycota; Eurotiomycetes; Verrucariales; Verrucariaceae. The record is from RNAcentral.
GAAAUGCGAUAUGUAAUGCGAAUUGCAGAAUCAGUGAACCAUCAAAGCUUCGAACGCAGACUGCGCUCUGGGAGCACGCCUCUUUCAGGGUCGACAAAACACACUCCAGGACGACCUAAAUGGUCAUUCUGGGAGAGUUGUCUCAGCAACACAUUUACUGAGACACUUGAAACAUUGUGACAUCAUUAGAUAUCGUGGAGAGAUCAAAUUACAAAGUCUCGACGCCCCACCCUUCGUGGUGAAUUUUAUUAUUCCCUUUCUAACGGUUUUUAUGGAAUUAACUUUCCUUUUACUUUAGACCUGAGAUGAAGCGAGACUACCCGCUGAAUUUAA